CGCAACGAGCGCAACCCCUAUUGUUAGUUGCCAUCAUUAAGUUGGGCACUCUAGCGAGACUGCCGGUAAUAAACCGGAGGAAGGUGGGGAUGACGUCAAAUCAUCAUGCCCCUUAUGACCUGGGCUACACACGUGCUACAAUGGUUGGUACAACGAGUCGCAAGCCGGUGACGGCAAGCUAAUCUCUUAAAGCCAAUCUCAGUUCGGAUUGUAGGCUGCAACUCGCCUACAUGAAGUCGGAAUCGCUAGU
This 250-nucleotide ribosomal RNA is filed under the name Acinetobacter baumannii. RNAcentral describes it as "partial 16S ribosomal RNA". It matches the Rfam family "Bacterial small subunit ribosomal RNA", at positions 1088 to 1339 of the family's 1533-position model. Lineage: Bacteria; Pseudomonadati; Pseudomonadota; Gammaproteobacteria; Moraxellales; Moraxellaceae. The record is from RNAcentral.